UGCCAUAGGUAAGGGUAGGCUAAAGAGG
Molecule: non-coding RNA, 28 nt
Filed under: Homo sapiens (human)
Lineage: Eukaryota; Metazoa; Chordata; Mammalia; Primates; Hominidae
Source: RNAcentral